This 316-nucleotide ribosomal RNA is filed under the name uncultured bacterium. RNAcentral describes it as "bacterial SSU rRNA". It matches the Rfam family "Bacterial small subunit ribosomal RNA", at positions 28 to 334 of the family's 1533-position model. The record is from RNAcentral.
GACGAACGCUGGCGGCGUGCCUAAUACAUGCAAGUAGAACGCUGACUACUUUAGCUUGCUAGAGUAGAAGGAGUUGCGAACGGGUGAGUAACGCGUAGGUAACCUGCCUACUAGCGGGGGAUAACUAUUGGAAACGAUAGCUAAUACCGCAUAACAGUGUUUAACACAUGUUAGAUGCUUGAAAGAUGCAAAUGCAUCACUAGUAGAUGGACCUGCGUUGUAUUAGCUAGUUGGUGAGGUAACGGCUCACCAAGGCGACGAUCCGUAGCUGGUUUGAGAGGACGACCAGCCACACUGGGACUGAGACACGGCCCAG